AUCCAACUGACGAGUCCCAAAUAAGAUGAAAUGCGCAACCUGGAU
RNAcentral lists this non-coding RNA (45 nucleotides) under Trichobilharzia regenti. The record is from RNAcentral. Lineage: Eukaryota; Metazoa; Platyhelminthes; Trematoda; Strigeidida; Schistosomatidae.